RNAcentral lists this non-coding RNA (96 nucleotides) under Alexandrium monilatum. Lineage: Eukaryota; Dinophyceae; Gonyaulacales; Pyrocystaceae. The record is from RNAcentral.
GGGUGCCCUCGGCGUGCUGGGACCGUCGGCCUUCUCAGGGGGCUUCCGGGCAGCAGCCGGUUCAGCCUUGGGCGGCCUCAUGGUUGGCACUUGCAU